UGGUGGAUGAGGUGGUUCUGACUGACUGACUGACUGACUGACUGACUGGUGGAUGAGGUGGUUCUGACUGACUGACUGGUGGAUGAGGUGGUUCUGACUGGUGGAUGAGGUGGUUCUGCCUGACUGACUGGUGGAUGAGGUGGUUCUGACUGGUGGAUGAGGUGGUUCUGCCUGACUGACUGGUGGAUGAGGUGGUUCUGACUGGUGGAUGAGGUGGUUCUGACUGGUGGAUGAGGUGGUUCUGCCUGACUGACUGGUGGAUGAGGUGGUUCUGCCUGACUGACUGGUGGAUGAGGUGGUUCUGCCUGACUGACUGACUGCUGGAUGAGGUGGUUCUGCCUGACUGACUGACUGGUGGAUGAGGUGGUUCUGCCUGACUGACUGACUGGUGGAUGAGAAGAUGACAUCUGAGACUAACGUUAAAAUCUUUGGGGUGAUGAAUAAUUUAUGAAAAACAAUUAAUUCUGUAUAAUAAAGUUUAAUCCAGUGUUUUCAGUCUCUUGGUGCAUGGUGUUCAAUUAAUCCAGUGUUUUCAGUCUCUUGGUGCAUGGUGUUCCAUUAAUCCAGUGUUUUCAGUCUCUUGGUGCAUGGUGUUCCAUUAAUCCAGUGUUUUCAGUCUCUUGGUGCAUGGUGUUCCAUUAAUCCAGUGUUUUCAGUCUCUUGGUGCAUGGUGUUCCAUUAAUCCAGUGUUUUCAGUCUCUUGGUGCAUGGUGUUCAACUGGGUUGGUGGUCAAGUGUAGACUGAUGUUUCAUACUCAUUUGCAUUUCAUUUUUAAUUCGCCUAUUCCAUCAAUCUUUUUUAUUUUAAACAAAAAACAUUUUUUUUACGUGAGAAGUGGGCAUUGGUCUGAGACGGUUUUUCUUUUUUCAGCAGACCGCUUUGACCUACUACAGUAGCUAUGUUGAUCUAAUGUACUCCAAACUAUGUGUAGGCAGGUUGCUUAGGUGUCAAACCUUAUCAAACAGCCGAAAUCAUAGUCUUAGAGGAGGUGCUCCCACAAUCGUGAUUCGUACCCCAUACAAGGUAAAGAACUGGAUUCUUCACACAACUCACUAAUCCCAUUCAUUACCUUUUCAAGCUUUUUUAAAUGAUAUUAAAGCUUUGCUUUUAUACUUACAA
Long non-coding RNA from Salvelinus namaycush (lake trout), 1120 nucleotides. RefSeq lists it as uncharacterized. NCBI's taxonomy places the organism in Eukaryota, Metazoa, Chordata, Actinopteri, Salmoniformes, Salmonidae. The transcript has 2 exons. The record is from RefSeq and is a predicted model, not a curated record.